This 253-nucleotide ribosomal RNA is filed under the name uncultured bacterium. Its description in RNAcentral is "partial 16S ribosomal RNA". It matches the Rfam family "Bacterial small subunit ribosomal RNA", at positions 524 to 776 of the family's 1533-position model. The record is from RNAcentral.
UACGGAGGGUGCAAGCGUUAUCCGGAUUCACUGGGCUUAAAGGGUGCGUAGGCGGGCUAGUAAGUCAGUGGUGAAAUCUCCGGGCUUAACCCGGAAACUGCCAUUGAUACUAUUAGUCUUGAAUGUCGUGGAGGUAAGCGGAAUAUGUCAUGUAGCGGUGAAAUGCUUAGAUAUGACAUAGAACACUGAUAGCGUAGGCAGCUUGCUACACGAAUAUUGACACUGAGGCACGAAAGCGUGGGGAUCAAACAGG